UACGGGGGGUGCAAGCGUUGUUCGGAAUUACUGGGCGUAAAGGGCUCGUAGGUGGCCUACUAAGUCUGACGUGAAAUCCCUCAGCUUAACUGGGGAACUGCGUCCGAUACUGGAUGGCUUGAGUUUGGGAGAGGGAUGUGGAAUUCCAGGUGUAGCGGUGAAAUGCGUAGAUAUCUGGAGGAACACCGGUGGCGAAGGCGGCAUCCUGGACCAACACUGACGCUGAGGAGCGAAAGCCAGGGGAGCAAACGGG
Molecule: ribosomal RNA, 253 nt
Filed under: uncultured bacterium
Lineage: Bacteria
Description: partial 16S ribosomal RNA
Rfam family: Bacterial small subunit ribosomal RNA
Source: RNAcentral